GAGUGCGAUCAUACCAGCUCUAAUGCACCGGAUCGAAUCACAACUCCGCAGUUAAGUGUGCUUGGAGGAGAGUAGUACAAGGAGUCCUCGUGUUGCACCUC
This 101-nucleotide ribosomal RNA is filed under the name Beta vulgaris subsp. vulgaris (sugar beet). Lineage: Eukaryota; Viridiplantae; Streptophyta; Magnoliopsida; Caryophyllales; Amaranthaceae. The record is from RNAcentral.